UCAUAUGGAUUCCUACGGGAGGCAGCAGUAGGGAAUAUUGCUUAAUGGGCGCAAGCCUGAAGCAGCAACGCCGCGUGUGCGAUGAAGGCCCUCGGGUCGUAAAGCACUUUUUGCUGGGAAAAGGAAGGAUGGUACCAGCAGAAUAAGCCUCGGCUAACUACGUGCCAGCAGCCGCGGUAAAACGUAGGAGGCGAGCGUUAUCCGGAUUUACUGGGUGUAAAGCGCGUGCAGGCGGUUCGCUAAGUUGGAUGUGAAAGCUCCCGGCUCAACUGGGAGAGGUCGUUCAAGACUGGCAGACUGGAGAGCAGUAGAGGAAGGUGGAAUUCCGGGUGUAGUGGUGAAAUGCGUAGAUAUCCGGAGGAACACCAGUGGCGAAAGCGGCCUUCUGGACUGCAUCUGACGCUCAGACGCGAAAGCUAGGGUAGCAAACGGGAUUAGAGACCCCGGUAGUCCUAGCCGUAAACGAUGUGAACUUGGCGCUGGGUGGGUAAAACCAAUCAGUGCCGAAGCAAACGCGAUAAGUUCACCACCUGGGGACUACGGCCGCAAGGUUAAAACUCAAAGGAAUUGACGGGGGCCCGCACAAGCAGCGGAGCGUGUGGUUUAAUUCGAUGCUACACGAAGAACCUUACCAGGGCUUGACAUGUAAGUGGUAGUGAAGCGAAAGCGGAACGACCCUUCGGGGAGCUUACACAGGUGCUGCAUGGCUGUCGUCAGCUCGUGUCGUGAGAUGUUCGGUUAAGUCCGCUAACGAGCGCAACCCUCGCCGCGUGUUACGAGUGUCACGCGGGACUGCCAGUCUUAAGCUGGAGGAAGGUGGGGAUGACGUCAAGUCAGCAUGGCCUUUAUGUCCUGGGCUACACACACGCUACAAUGGCCAGUACAAUAGGUAGCGAAGUCGCGAGGCGAAGCCAAUCCUCAAAGCUGGUCUCAGUUCAGAUUGCAGGCUGCAACUCGCCUGCAUGAAGAUGGAGUUGCUAGUAACCGCAGGUCAGCUAUACUGCGGUGAAUACGUUCCCGGGCCUUGUACACACCGCCAU
This 1040-nucleotide ribosomal RNA is filed under the name uncultured Longilinea sp. RNAcentral's name for it is "bacterial SSU rRNA". It matches the Rfam family "Bacterial small subunit ribosomal RNA", at positions 327 to 1396 of the family's 1533-position model. Lineage: Bacteria; Bacillati; Chloroflexota; Anaerolineae; Anaerolineales; Anaerolineaceae. The record is from RNAcentral.